RNAcentral lists this ribosomal RNA (473 nucleotides) under uncultured organism. RNAcentral's name for it is "partial 16S ribosomal RNA". It matches the Rfam family "Bacterial small subunit ribosomal RNA", at positions 335 to 800 of the family's 1533-position model. The record is from RNAcentral.
ACUCCUGCGGGAGGCAGCAGUAGGGAAUCUUCCACAAUGGGUGCAAACCUGAUGGAGCAAUGCCGCGUGAGUGAAGAAGGUCUUCGGAUCGUAAAGCUCUGUUGUUAGAGAAGAACACGUGCUAGGUAACUACUAGCGACUUGACGGUAUCUAACCAGAAAGUCACGGCUAACUACGUGCCAGCAGCCGCGGUAAUACGUAGGUGACAAGCGUUGUCCGGAUUUAUUGGGCGUAAAGGGAGCGCAGGCGGUCUGUUUAGUCUAAUGUGAAAGCCCACGGCUUAACCGUGGAACGGCAUUGGAAACUGACAGACUUGGAUGUAGAAGAGGAAAAUGGAAUUCCAAGUGUAGCGGUGGAAUGCGUAGAUAUUUGGAGGAACACCAGUGGCGAAGGCGAUUUUCUGGUCUAACAUUGACGCUGAGGCUCGAAAGCGUGGGGAGCGAACAGGAUUAGAUACCCCUGUAGUCCCAUGA